UCUGAUCCCUGGCCCCGGAACUCUGUAUGCUGCGGGGCGGCCAAAAAGAAAAGGAAAAAGAAAAGCGCCUCUUGGGUAUAUUUUUAAGGCUUAGAUAGGGCUGAUUAUAUCCUCUCCUCCUCCUGAAGGGACAGAAGUAGCUGCCAAGUGGUCAGAGCAGCAGAAUACGGAUCUCUCGACCGUCAGGCUCAUCGCAGCGGUGGAGACGUGGACAUCGUGGCGAGUGCCUGCUGGGACCCCCGAGAGGGGGCGUCUGGAUAAAAUCAAUCUGCCACGUUUCAAAGGGCGUGCAGCAACACCGGAUCCCCAACCCACCGAGCGAGGCCAGGGAUCGAACCCGCAUCUUCAUAGACACUGGUCAGAUUCGUUUCCGCUGCGCCACAGCGGGAACUCCAGUCCAGUCCUGUUUUUCGUCAUGGACGUCUGAGCCCUCUGGUUGCAAGGGGACUGGAUGAAGCCUGUCGCAUCUGGGAAGGGCUGCAUCCGGCGAGAGCCAGGUCGUUUCAAGGGCGCUUCAUCCAGUCGAAGACCGCUGUGCCGAGUGUCUAGUACGGCCUCCACAGAGGGGGAAACAAGACAGUGAGAAGGCGCUUGCUGACUGUGUCUUGUGUGGUCGGACAUGGCAGCGCUGCACAGCCGGUACAAGGUGCGAUAAGCCCUUUCUCGACAGAAACUCCUUCUGUGGCCUCUUUUUAAAAAUUUUCUUUAAUUACUCAAAUG
Long non-coding RNA from Phacochoerus africanus (Common warthog), 720 nucleotides. RefSeq lists it as uncharacterized. The transcript is spliced from 3 exons. Lineage: Eukaryota; Metazoa; Chordata; Mammalia; Artiodactyla; Suidae. The record is from RefSeq and is a predicted model, not a curated record.